Molecule: non-coding RNA, 14194 nt
Organism: Meleagris gallopavo (turkey)
Lineage: Eukaryota; Metazoa; Chordata; Aves; Galliformes; Phasianidae
Source: RefSeq, a predicted model, not a curated record
GGUAAGAAGUUGUGUUUUUCCUAUUGCAGGCAUGCAAGCCUGGUGGAGACUGAGCACGGACAGUGCUAAGAAACAAGACAGGGCACAGGGUGCUGAUGCUGUUGGCAAACACGUACAAAACUGACUCUGCUCUGAUGUCUGUGUGAUGGUGAAGAGUCGAAAUGUUGCACUUCAGUGAUUCUCCAGACCAUGCCUGUAUUGGGGAAUAAAUUCAGCACUGUUCUGGUGGAAGGAGAAACGAGCAACAGACAGAGGAACUCUCCUGCUGACAGCAGGCAGCUGGCACGAAGAGAACAGAAAAUCCAACUCUCCCCUCCCACACUGCCAUGAAAAGAAUAGAGGGCGAUGCAGCCGCUGGAACGGCGCUCUGAAGUACUGCAGCAACGUGGAGGUACAGUGAGGAAGAAAACACCAAAAAUGUCACAAGUAGAAUUUGUGUGAAUCCUGGCCACCCUGGAUGAGCUCUAUGGGUGUGACAUCGUGUCAGAGAUCCCUGCUGCCAGAGCUCCUGACGGUCACUGCAGCCAACUGGCACAGCAUCAGGCAUCAGUGUUAGAGAUGGGAAUAUGCCAUCAGCUCCACUACCUUGCUCCACAGAGGGACGCAGUGAAGGAAACCAACCAGUCUGGAGGGACAGAGAAGAUGGAAACUACCAAACAACUGAAAUAUCAUCGUUGUUCUGUAGAACUCGUCAUUUUCCUUGGAUUUUGGAGGGAGAAGGAAAAGGAACGUCAGCUGUGAAUUAUCGUACAUGCAUGUGACACGUGAAAAUCAAACAUACUACAGCCCAGCGUUAUGAAGCCCUGUUGAGUAUUUGCUGUGUUACUGUUGUUGCCACAGCUGCUUUUCCCAUGGGAACAUUAAGAGCGGAGACCGGCUAUAGCACUCCCUGAACGACAAAAAUGAAGAUAAUGGCCUUGAAAAUGGGAUUUCAGUGUAAUGAGCUGCAGUAAGAGUGAUACAAGAGAGACUUGAGUGCUUGCUGGUGGUCCAGGAGCACUGCUGAGCAGUGGCACCAUGCGCUGAGCCAGCAGUGCAAGCAGUGUCUCUGCAGGAGGAUGACUGGAGAAGAGCUGGGUCAGAAAUCAGCUUAGGUGCUGUAAAACCAUGGAAUGGUGUUGCUGCAAAACUGGAGACCUCAGCCUUCACUCAUCCCUGGGUGGAGCAAGAUGUGCGCAUGGAGAGCCCAGCUGUGGGGCUGCACAGCCCUGCCCUGUGCUGGGAAAAUGAUUCUGCGGAGCCAUGAGCAAGGGAUGCUUCAGGUGUGCAAAGGAGACGUGAGGAAGGGUAUGUGCAAAUGCCCAAGCUGUGCCCAACCCUGAGGGAUGUCCCCUUCCCUCCCAGCUGCUGGUAGUGUUGCACUCACCUAGCUCCCUUGCCCGAGUGUGUCCAGGGCUGAAUUCCACUCAUGUAGCUCUCUGGGCAGAAGUGCUCCCUGUUUGGCUGUUAUGCACAGCCCAGCAAAUCUGGCCUCUGAGUAAUUAACGGAGUUUUUGACAAGCUGUGCCAACAGGAAGGCUUUUUAGAUUGGAUGCAAGCACCUUAAGGUCAAAUUCACUUUUGUCCCUGCAACCUUAACGCUUCUCCAUACAUUUCCAUCCUGUGCAUUGAAUGGAAAAGAUAUCAUGUGAGCAUGUAAUUACAGACUGUAUUAUAGUGCAAUAAUUCCUCCACGAGACAGCUAAAGACUAACUGAGAGCUAAUCUAUCCAAAACCAAUAUCAUAGUUCCAGCACAGGCUGGACUCGGGCCAGAUGGGAGCCGGGAACAGCUUUUGUGACAUUGAUGAAUGCGGUGUAGCUGCCGAUGGAUGGAGAGCAGCCAUCUCCUUGUAUCCUUCCAGACCACUCCAGCGUUCAGUCCUGUGCCACUCUCCCGCCUGAAGGUAAGGACAACUUGUUCAAGAAGGUACUAACACCUUUUGAGCUUCCCACAGCUGCCUUUUCACCAGGCUGAACACCUCCAGCUCCACCAGCCUGUAUCCAUAGGAGAGGUGCUGCAGCCCUCUGAGCAUCCUCAUGGCCACCACUGAGGCCACCCCAGCAGCUCACUGUCACCCUCCGGCUGUCACCUCCCAACCAACUCCAUACCCACUCUUCAAGCCUGUAUCUCUCCCACUUAGAGGAAGAUGAGUCCAGGACAUACAACACCUGCAGGGUACUUUGUACAAUGCCACAGAUCAUGCCAUACCUGUACCUGAUGCACAUGCGUCGCUUUGGGACAAAGUCAGUGGGAAAAGGCCUUUGGUAAUGAACAAACUAAAGUUAAGACCAGCACUUUCAGUUCCAUCUGAAUAUUCAAGAGUAAGGAGUGCAGAGCUGGAGCACAGGCAUUGCAGCACACCCAGCCCAUUUGGACUCAUGGUAGCACCCAAGCUAUGUGGGAAAGGCAUGCAACACCUCGUUAUCAGCCUGCCAGGGCUGGACAGGACAUCUGCAGAGCCACAGUGCCAUAUAACACAUGGAUCCACUCACCAAAUGAGGCAGUCAUUGUUGGCAUCCCAAUGUAGAGGAGUGUAAUGGCUCAGUGAAGACAUGUUUAUGAACUCUAAUGCAACUUUUGUGUUACAUUUUAUGUAAUUGAAAAAUUAUCAACCUGACAUUAAAACAAGCCUUGCUUUAAGGGAGUGUAAUUUUUGCUAAUGGAUUGCUACAUUUCAUUUCCAUAUCCUUUUUCCAGCAAUUUUAUGUUUAAAUAUCACUGCCCCUUUGAAUUAUGUAAGGCUUUUUUCACUGUGAUGUUCCAGCAGUUUGCCAGCCUCAUGUGUGUAAUUAGUUUGAUUAGCACUACAGCUUUAAUGGGAGCAUUGGUGCUCGCUAUACACACUCUGUUCUUCACUGGACAAAGUCAAAAGUUGUGUCUCUCAAUCAGCUACAGCUGAAGAGCUGAGUCCUUCCCAGGCUCUAUGUCCUCGUGUUUUGCCCUUUCAGGGAGCAUCACUUUCUUAAUUAUGGCUGUAAUCCCUGCCUGUGUCCUCUUUCCACUCCAAACACGGGAAUGCACACUGGGCAUGCUCACUGAACUGGUUUGCGCAGCUGUCAAAGUACAUUCCCUUGGCCUUCCCAAUAAUCACUAAUUAUUAAUAGCACACAAAUUAAAUAGUAUUCUUAUUGUCUUGGGCCAUGCCUGCAUAAUGGAUGGGAAGAAACAGAAACGAUGCAUCUUCUUAACACAGAACAUUUCACCAAGCCCAGCAAAAGCUUGACAUUGAAAACAACUCCUGGGGAACUGUCAAGAUGACAAUGGGAAAAGCAUUAACGAUUCAUCCAUGUGCCAUUAGCCCUGCAUGUUAGACCUGACGUGAAGUCAAUAGAUCAUUUUUAUGUUCUACAAUAGAAAAACAUUGAGUGGGAAUGGAAGCGUAUGACCUCUAGGCUACAUUAAACCACUAUUAAGAAAAAGAUCAUUAUCUGAAAAGUGCAAAACCAUAUUAAUUCGGUCCGCUUGUCUGUCAGACUCUGAGCAGUUCCAAUCUGUUUCCCCUGGUGUCACCUGGCAAUCGAUGCGUUAACGCUCAGCAGAAGCUCAACAGCUCAAACGCAGCAUUACGAGAGCACAUUCACCAGUAUGAUCAUCAUCAUUUGUUAAGAAAAUGGUGCUUGUUUUAUAUCUCAACCGUGUCUUUCAAAGGUGGUUGUGGCCAACCAGCAGUUCAGGUCUCUCUUUACAAAAGAGAAACAAUAUGUUACUUGAUGUCCUCUGUGUGUUUCAAGAGAAACAGCUUUCAGCCAAGCACAAAAGAAUCAACUAUUUUCUACAGAAAACCACAGUACUUUUCAAAGGAAACUUUCAGAAAGAGAGCUCAGUUCAGAGAAGCCAGAUUUGGUUCAUCAUGUCAGUGCCAUGAGGACAUCCAUCUCCUGUUGGGAUGGCACAUGCCAACCUGGCCCAGGCUGAGGUCAGCAGCUCCAAAAGCAAAAGUCCAUGAUGGGCUCUUCUAUUCUCAGGAAGAAACCAUCACCACCAAAGCACCAAAAUGAGUCUUCUCCAUUUUGUACCUGAAGGCCAAACCGUUUUGGAAGAUUACAUUCUAUCUGCAGGCUGCAAAGCAACCUCAUGUGGGAGUGUGCAGCAAGUCCAUGACCAAAACGCUGCUGUGGUGCUGAAAUUCAGCACAUCUGGCCAGCUGCCUCAUGCCUGGAUCAUUGCAGGAAUAGGAGAGAUUCUACUAACGUGGGUGCCAGUGGAAAGCAUUCCCCCAAACCUAACAGAAGGGGCUGGAAGGGCAGACUGAAGGUCAGUGCACGCUGGGUAACACGAUAUCUAGGGCUGUUCUCCAAUGCAGUACUUGGAAGCUUGGAAAGCUUCACGGAUACUAUGGGAUCAAGCUGGUAUAAAGCUGGCGUGAACUCCAGCCCCCAGCAGUGCUGAUGGAGUGCUGAUGAGCAGAGCCAACAGCACUGGCACUGUCGGCCACCUGGCACCUUCCCAUCCAACUGCUGCUUACACCACCACCGCAGUUACAGGGAGGUGGAAGCAUGUCUAUCAUAUGCUGUGGAAAAGCAGAAGUGGGGAGAGGGUCCCCCAAACUGGCUUAACAAAAGAAAUCCUCACCUGGGAAUGGAUGGAUGAAGAUCAGAGCCAGAUCAAUGACGUUUACAACAAUUUUAAUUGGCAUGCAACAAACAAAAUCCAGAGGCUGGGGAACUUAUCCCACAACUCAUGUGCUGCUAGUGCUUGGUGCUUUCUGUCAGUAAGUCCUGCUAUGACUCAUGAAAUUGGGCACUGUGGGCACAGCAACCAUUUUCCCCUACCCCUUCAGGAGGUGUCUUUAUCAUUUUACUUAGUGAUGCAUAAUAGAGGUCAGGAAGGCAGCAAUAUUUUUUAUCUGGCUGCAGUAAUUAGAUGAAAACUUAGUACUAGAAAUGGGCAAACAGAAUUAACCAGCUUAUUUAAUGGAAAACGAGUGACUUACAUAGCAGGGUAAAUAUAGUUCAGUGUGUAUUUGAAAGUUAAAUGAGAUGUGCAUUAGAACACGUUUUAGUUUUAAAAUAGUUCCAUGCUUAAAAUCACUUGUACAGUCACUGUGGUUAAAUGCAUUUAGCAGGAUGGGAAAAAUGGGCAGCUUUGGGGCUUUGGUGGUGGUGCUGUUUGAGUGAUGUCUGUCAGUGGGUUCACAGCCUGAAUGUUGCUGCAGGAGCAGGGCAGGGCAGGAGGAUGCUCAGGUUUUGGGGUUGAUACCACUCUUUGGCACUGCAAGGGUAAAUGUGCCACAAUGCUGGAACCACGAGACAAGCUGGGGGGUUGGGUGUUGUCUGGGGCCUCGUGAGCAGAUGCAUUAAUCUGAUUUCUUACCUACAAGUCCCUGCUUGUUUCUCUAAAAUAACCAUUUAAUUAUUAUGCAAGAAAUCAGCCAUUCAUAAGCAUCCUUAUGGAAUAAAAACAAAGGAUUUCACCCCCUCUCCCCCUCUCUUUACAGGAUUAGUUUAUUUGUUGGAUCAGAAUUAUCUUAAUCUGGUAGAUGUCCUUCAGCAAGUUAUAAACAAGAGCGACAUCUUUCCGCCAAUGGAUUUCAUUUAGCUGGCUCUGAUAAUUUACAAGAUGUUUGCAGUUCUGAGUCCCUUACAGUAAUGACUUGUCCAAAUAAAUUAACAUGAAAAAAUCCCUUGUUAACACUCAAAUAAUCAAAUUCUUUUGUCAACAACAUCCCCAAAUAACUUGCAUUGACUUUAGUCAAAGUUUGUUAGAAUGAGAGACUUACUGUGAAGCACAGCUACUCCACCAUGAACCCAAGACUGCUAAUUUCCAAGUUAAGUAACUGUUCUCAUUUUCAAAGACCUGUCACCAAGUUCUUUUUCAGCAAAAACAGGCCAGAAGGAAGGAGGAUGAAGCACAGGAGAUGCAUCAAAUUCAGGUUGGUAUCAGAGCAAUGUCUGCUCCAGAGAGCGGCCAGGCGCUGGCACAGCUGCCCAGGGGUGGGCAGUCCUUGUCCAUGGAGGUGUUCAGAGCUGCAGGGAUGUGGCACUGAGGGACGUGGGCUGUGGGACUGUGGGGUGGUGGGGUUGGGGUUUUCAGGGGUCUUUUCCAUCCUGAAUGGUUCUGUGAUUCUACGAUCCUAUGAAGAGGAGUGCAUCCCACUGAGCCCUGCAGCCUCCUGUCUUCGGGGACACGUGCAGUUGCAAAGCUCACAGAAAUGCUUACUGGCUAUAGGUGCUGGGAAUCCUGUGAAGUGCAGAGGUGCUGUGUAAGUGUGCUCCUCAGCCCAAGGCUGCAGCAGCAUGGAGCUGUGCAGGACCCGUCACCAGGCGGACAUUUCCAGGUGUUUUUUCACCCUUCCUUCCUCCAGAGCUACUGAGGCAGCUCAGUCCACCCAGCAAUGCCAGGUACUUCAUGCACACGAAAACAGAACAAACCAAUUUCAGUAAACUAUGUGAAGCUCCUGGAGGAUCUUUUUGUUAGGAGUUGAGCGGGCUGUAAAUAACAGAGGUAUUAACAGUAAUUCACACCCCUGGGACAAGCCAUAGAGGAUUACAGCCGUGUGGAACCAUUUGCCUUGAGAAAAAUGACAAAAUUUCCAAGGACUAGAUGGCUUCUGGAGAGAAGAUUUGAAGCUCAGACUGCACUUGUCUUGAGCUUAUCCGCUAUCAAUUCCAGUUCGUACAAAGACAUUUACUCCUAUUAUUAUUAUAUCCCUGCCCUUUCUCGCCCUUGAAGUAUUGGCAUUGUGGCUCUGAAGACAGAUUCAAUUAACAAACCGGAUAGAUGCUGACCUUUACGGGGUUGUUAUUCUAUCCUUGAUUUGCUUUAGGGGAGAAAUAUUUCUUUCUUGUAUAAAUAUGAAAUAACAAAUAAAUAACCAACAAUUGAUUUGUAGUUUCAAAAAAAAAGAGAGAGAGAGGGGGAAAGAGAGGAAAGAAAUGAACUAGUCAGGCACGGACACUGGCAUUAGCUGAAGGGCUUCGGCACCUUGUGCAGGGAUUACUCACUGAGCACACCGCCAUCCAUCACGAUUACAGAGCUGUUGGGGGAUUUCUAGAGCAGUUUUUUUCCAGAGAAUCGGGUAACUGAGGCAGCAUAGUGUUUGCACCUUUUUGUUACCACCAUGAUUGAUUUUCUGCAGUCCAAGAAGGAAAUUUUCUUUUUUGCUACUUUUUUACAUUACAGACCACUGUCCUGCAGCAUCACAUGGGAUUGCUGAGAUGGGAUGCAGGGACAGGGACAGAGUCAGCAACAGGGAUACGGAUAGAAAUAGGGAUAGAAGCAGAGAUAGGGAUAAGGAUAGAGAUAAGGAUAGGGGUAGGGAUAGUGACAGUGAUAGGGCUAUGGAUAGGGACAGGGACAGGAGUAGGGAUAGGGAUAGGGAUGGAAACACGGAUAUGACUAGGAUGUGGUGCUUUGGGGCAUCCCAAUUCUGAUCUCCCCUGGAUGAGGCUCUACUCUUCCCAGGGAAGGUGAGCUUGGUUUUAGGGUGCUCACUGAGCACUGAUGGUGAUGUUGGAAAUCCUCUUUUCUGUAGUGAUUGCCUUGUAUCUAUGCAUGGCCAGGUCCAAUGUCCUGCUGAAAGGGCUUCGUGCUCACUUGUUUACCUUGGACAAGGCCAAUAAACCCAUAGUUCGCUUGACGAUGAUUGAAUGGUGUUUGGUAUUGGCUCACUUUUUCCUGGUGAAGACUAAAAUGGAGGUGGGUGAUGGGAACACAGCCUUCAUGGUGGGGGAAGGAAGCACAUGUUUUCCUGCUUUAUGCUUCCAUCUAUAGCCACGAGCAAAUAAAAAUUUGUAUCUUACAUAAAAAUUACUUCCUGCACAACAAACACAUCAAGGCACAAACUUGCCUCAUUUAUAUUCACAUUCCAAAAAAUGAUAGUUUUAUACUUCAAAACAGCUUUCUUCCCCCCUCUCCUUCUCUCACCACAUGCACACACUUGGGACAAGAUCAAACAGCUCUUCAUUUUUCUCUAACAAUAAUGUAAUUAUUAUACAAUGUUAAUUGUAGAGAAAUCUGAGGACAACUCAGCAUGUAAAAAUCCUAAUUAAUAUUUUUAUAAUACUAAUUAUUUUAUAAUUAUAAUUACAUAUAAUUAUUAUCCUUUAAUAAUUCCAUGCUCUCAUGCUACAAGUAUUACACUUAACCUUUUCAAUACUGGUCCUGACUGUUGCUUUUUCUCAGACUAAUCUGCUAUUCCGUGGAUUGUGCCACUUACAGCAGUGGGACAUCCUUGUUGCUGGUUUGUACUAUUGCUGCUGAAGUCACUUGAAUUCUUGAGUUUGGGUUCAUUUCCAUUUUUGCUGGCCAUCAGGGUGCUGCCUGCCCUGCCUCACCCAUGAGGGGACAGCUGACACCUGCAGGCAGGUUAUCUUGAUGGAAACUAAGGUCAAAAGGGCACAGCAAACCAAGGCAAGGAAUUUGCAUGGGUAGCCCCAUGUAUUUUCUGUACCUGUUUCUGCAAUGGUAUUUGUUCAUUUAAGAUCAUCUACAUUCAGCAGGAUGCUGGACAAGAAGUGCUGACAUCCUUUGCCACCCCUUAGUGUUCUUACAGUAUGGUGCAUAGUGAGCAAGACUACCAUUCAUCAUCCUUCUUUGCCUUGAAUUCUUCCCAUUUCUGUCUUUCCUUCCCUGAUCAUUUUUCUAUCUAUCUGAUCCAGCAAGUAACAAAAUACCACGCCCAUUUACAUGGAGCCUGGCAGUUCCUCUACUCAGAGCCAUACGAACCCACUGCUCUGUUCUGGUUCUGCCCAGCCCUCCUGGUGCCUGCAUCAUCGCUUGCAAUUAACAGGCAACAUUCUUCUGACAGAUGAACACAGAAAAAAUUGUUUUCAAUUAUAAAUACUCAAAAUUCUACAAAAAAAAGAAAGAGAUCAAAUGUUUUCUUAGCUCCUUGACAUCUUCGAAUACAUGUUAGACAAGGGAAAAGAUCAGUGCUUCUGGUAACUCAUAAAAACCUUUCCUUUCUGGUGGCAGAAUUUGUAAAAUUUGAGUAUCUCCUCUAAUCUUAACCUUAGGUGAUCCACUAAACUCAGAGAAGUCUUCGCUGGAACAAUAGAAGGCGUUUGGUAUUCCAGGUGCUGGCUUUUGUGUACCACUACACUACUUGCUUACACAAAGGCACUCCUCUCCAAAGUGAGAUAAAUUGUUCUGUUGCUUCCAUGUGAAGCACGUGAACUUCUCUCCCACCUUCUGACUGACAUUGGAAAGGUAAUGGUCUGCUCUGAACAGCACUGUCUUGCCUGCUGGAUCCUUCUGCACCCAUUUAGGGCUGGGCUGGAGCAGACACUGGGGCCAACUGCAGUCCACUGAAUGCAACUGAGAUGGAUCCACCAAUGGAAGAGUUCCUGCAGCACCGAUGGACACCCAUGUUCACCACCACAAAAAGCCAUGAGACAGAGUCUUGAGCUUCAUUCUAAUAUCAUGCAUGCUGCAUUCAAUGAACAAAAAGGCAAACAGAAAGACUGAAUUUACGCCAGCGAGUCACAAUAAGCCGUGCAUUGGCAAAAUAUUUAAUCGUGCUGAAGUUGGAGGCCGGAUCCUCCCACGUGGCUUUAUUUUGGCAUUGCAAACUGCACAUCUUCUAAAGCUUCUCUAGGAGCACUGGCAAAACCUUACACUGAGGACCAGUUCUAAUUUGUGGAGGAUGUGGAAGAGCAGUGGGAAGAAAGAAAGCUGUUGCUGCUGUUUGGCAGCUUGAUGUUUUGGGUUUUUUUCUUCUUUGCUUUAGGCAAAUGAAAGGAAUAAGUUCACUUGUAAUUGCUUUCAUGUAAAGAAAAGUUAAUAGAAAUUUUAAUAACAGUAGCAGCUUAAGAGAGUUUGAGGCCACGACACACGCAAUGCAAUGGAGGCAGCUCUUGCAACAGGCUGCAGCUGCCCAUUGCUAUGGCUCUGCUUGUGGCACAGGGGGAGAGUUUUGGGAGAGUUCAGAAGGGUUCGUUCUGCCCUGGUUUUGUGCAGCCCUGUGUGCCCAUCGCUUACACAGACCACCACGUAGCAGCAGUGUGACUAUUAGUCACAAUACCAAUAUACAUAAAAAGGAACAGGCUCAGUAAUAUAUAUGUUGAACUAUUAGUGGCUGUUGUAUGUGCCCUUCUGAGCUUUUCCCCCUUGGGAUCCACAGCCUCAGCACUUCCUUCCCUUUCUCCUGGGCAGCAGCAGCAUUUCUGUCCUACUAGUAUCACAGAUAGCAUGGCUGUUUGCUUCUCCAUGGAUGGGGACUGCCCACACUUGGGCAGCUGUGCCAGUGCCUGGCUGCUCUCUGGAGCAGACACUGCCCUGAUACCCAACCUGACCCUCCCAGGCACAAGGUGAGGCCAGCACCUCCCAUGAAGAUGAAGGGGAGGAAGAGUGGGGUGCACCACCAUGCUCGCCCCAUUGGCAGAACCACCUGGGGGUCUUCAUGGACCAGCUUUGUGAAGGAUGCUUUGUGAAGGAUGCAGUUAUUGUGCAUUGUCCUUGUAGAAUCACCUCAGCAGUAACCUUGUACCACUGCGCAUUUUCCUGGCACACUGACAAUCCCAGUGAGCAGCUGCAGUUCCGUGGUGGCUACAUUAGGAAUGUGGCUUCUGCAGCCAUCACUGUGGCCAUCAGCAGCGGAUGUCUGCUGUGCAGAGGGACAUGGGUGCCAACAGCAAGCACCUGGGCAUGGAAAGCUGGUUUCUGUUACUGAAGGUGAACACCUUUAGUUUGUAAAUGCAAGAAAACUGGAGAAGUUUAUGAAAGAAGAUAAAGGAUGGGUACAGGAGACAAAAGACUCAUCGCCUUGCAGGAAAGAGGUGAAUACAGAAGAAGAGGAGAUGGAUUGAAGCUCGUUUUGAAGGCAGAAGGAGCCAUCCCCAGGUCAGCUUCCCAUACUUCCAAUGACAUUUAUGGAAGUGAACAGAGAUUUCACUUUUGACCAUCAGCCUGAAUGUGUUCUCCCAGCUGGAAGGGCUUUUUUCACCUUGAUGAUCCUUGAGGUCCCUUCCAACCCAAGCCAGUCCAUGAUUCUAUGAUUCACUGACUGCAUCACAUCCCAUAAGGUAUCUCAAUGCAGAGCUGAAGCAACUUCCCUUCAUCUUGAUAUUUUGCUUCAGUAGCCCAAAUCACUCCUGGGUCACCAGACUGGAUGGCUCUCUGCAAACAUGGAUACAACAGAACAAGGGCACAUGCUGAGCUAGCUCCUGCACCUGAGAUGCAGUGCCUAUGGGCUCUCUCCUGGAUUAAGAAUGAUUUGAAAGUUACACUGGGCCCAAAGGAGCAGCUCCUUCCACCCAGCGGCCACUCUCCAUCAGACAGCACCAGGAACCAGUCUGUGUCUGGCUGCUGACUCCAGCAGGACUGACGCUGGGCUCAGGAGCAGUCUCCUGCUCGUUCUGCAAGGAGCUCAUUUUACCAUUGCGCCAGUGAAAUGAGUUCCUUGGUCACUCUCAGUGUGUGUCCUGAAGAUGCUACAAGCAACAUGGACCUCCCUGCUAAGAAUCCAAAUUAUGGGCACCAAUAGUCAGGGCGCAGCAGAAGAUAUUCACAAGGAUGCCAGGACAUAUUCUUCUGAUUUAAGUGGAGAAACAUUGGCAGUGAAUGUCACUGGAACAAGAUCCUGAAGACUGUGGAGACUUCUAGAAAAGAGGUUGUGAGCAUCGCCAUGAUGGCUGUGCAGUUGGCUGCUCCAAGGGCCUGAUUUGCUGGAAUAUCUAAAAGCACACAAGCAUAAAGGAAAUCCAACACAUCGAUGGAUAUUAACCUGCUGGAUGUUACCUAAUGAGCCUGUAUGUUGUACUGUCAUUCAUUCACUGUGACAAAAGGAUGACAUGGAAAUGCUGACAUAUAUCUCUGUUGUUUAAUGCAGACACAGCGUAACUCAUUAUUUUAUGCAGCAAACCGAAGUCUCUAAUGCCUACGAAACUGAAAGGAUGCUAUAGAAACUGCUUUACAGAAACAGAACAAAAUCUACCUUUCCUGCGUGCAUAUGAAAAUGUGGAUGACUUCGUGAGGAGCUCAAAUUGUCACUCAGCCUCAUAGAGUAGUCUCCAUGGCUGCUAACAGAAGUCCCACCAUGUCUGUGUGAGCUGAAAGAACCACGUAUUUCUCUAACUGCGAUCCCAAAUGCAGCUGCUAAAUUCUCAAUACUUCUCUAACAGUUUUCAGAUUGUUCUCCCCGUUCAUUUACAUCAGUCUGAAUGGAAAUAGAGAGGAAAACAAGUGCUAACCUCAUAGAGCAGUUGUGGAUGGGUGGGUAGCAGCUCAAGGGCAGCAUUUGCUUUAGGUCCUCCUCAUGGAAUUAGGGUCAUUAUUCUGAUUUACUAAGAAACAUAUGUGCAAGUAUACACCAAAACUGCAGAAAAUAGAAUUUUAGAAGCUUAUUCAGCAGUGGAUUUCAGGAUACAGAUGUUGGAUAUAAUAUACUCGCACUAAAUUGGAUUCUGGGUGAAUAAAAGAGCUGAUCUUAAAUUCAGCUUGGAGCCCUGCUCAGCACUCAGUUUGAAAUACACAGCCUUUUUGUUUCGCUUUUGCAACUUAUUCAAUAAAUAUUUUGGCAUGCCUGUCUGUUACGCUGCCUUAAUCUUCUCUUCAACCGAGCAGAAAUUAGCAUUUGUAAUUUAUUCACUAAGGGAAACUAAAGAGGCUCUGCACCAGGGUGAAAUGUAAUGCCCAACAGAUAACCAGAGUGCUGAGUCAGCACAAUGUGCAUUUGACAGAUUUGCUCCUUGUCUGCACCUCAUUUAAUGGAAAAUAUGGCAAAGAGGGGGAAGCUUUUUUCUGUGUCUCACUGGAGUGAUGCAGGGCUGUGGUGGCUCGCUGUGCCCUCAUCCCCUCCUCCUGUCCCAUAACACAAAUGGCCGUGCCAUUCAACCCAAGCCCUUUGUUCAUUGCAAGAGAAUCACAAGAUGCCCAUUCUUUAUUGUAAAGAGCAGUUAGAUUUUCAGUUAUCUUACUGAGAAACAAAGUCUCUAAUCAGCUUCAUUUCUUUUUAACCCUGAAUCCAACCCCCUGCAGGUUUAAAUAAAUUAACUUUAAAAAAAACAACAACCCAAAUACCCACUCACCAGCUUUCAAUGACUAAACAGCAGGGUCACACUUGGGCUGACUUGUAUAUCUCGUUAUUGGAAUUGAAGGGGGAAAGGCCUCCUGAGACCCCCACCCCACCAUGCCCACAUCCCUCAGUGCCACAUCCCUGCAGCUCUGAACACCUCCAUGGACAAGGACUGCCCACCCCUGGGCAGCUGUGCCAGCGCCUGGCCGCUCUCUGGAGCAGACGUUGCUCUGGUACCAACCUGAGCCUCCCUGGUGCAAUGUGAGGCCAGCACCUCUCACCUUCUUGCCAGGGCAGAGGCUGACCACCACAUCACUCCAUGCUUUUUUGAGGGAGUUGGAGAGACCACAUCCUGCAGUCAGUAAGGAGCAGUUUCGAGCAGUUUCAGCCAUGCCCUUCACCCCUCUCUUUAUGUAAGAGUUUUUGGCACUGGGUACUGUUUUGGUUUGUUUCUUCUUUUGAAUCUCCAUGAAUCAUUUUGGGCAUUGCUAUGAUGCAGGCCAAGAUAACAGACGUAGUAUGAUUAUUAGGGCUGUGCAGAGAAGCAGUCACACUGAGCGUGGUUUAUGAGUGGUAACGUCAUUGAUUUUUGCCUUUUCAAUGAGCUAGCCAGCAUUCCUCCUAGAGAAUUAAUAAUCAGAAGCAUCCCUCUGUAUUGGCACCUGGACAUGCCUGACUUCUCCUGCAGCAGCAUUUGAUCGAUGUAGCGAUACGCCGUAUGAGUUGGUGAGCAAUGGGUCUCAUUCCGCUGUACCUGGAGCAGGAAGCAUUCCCACCACAAAAGCAGAGAUCAGAGUACUUCAAUGCCCACUUACCUGCUUGCUGUCCCCCCUCCUGUUCCACCCGCACACACUCAUGUUUGCAGCACAGUCACAUAGCAGCCAAUGCUUGCUGAAAAACAAAGUAAGGAAAAGGACUCCAAAAUGUGCAACCAUUACUCUGCAUAAGAAAAUUAAGGAAAGAAAAACUACCGUAGGUUGACGUUGUGCUGGGGGAGGGGGGCAGACAAGUACUUACUCUUUCCAGCGUGAAUUGCUUCAUUUUUUCUUCCUUUUCAGUUCAUUAUAGCCAUAACUUUAUUUAAAUGUAGCUUUUCUUUCCACUGUGGCUGUGGUAAUUUCUUAGAGAACAUAUUUUAAUGGCCUGGCUAUACGCUCAGGAUUUCUGUUUGCUUCUGUAAUUGCUUCUUAAUUAUUUUCCAAUUGCUGAAACAACAGUUUCCACAGUUUAUUAAAAAGCGUUUUUGAAAGCUUUACCC